This 1402-nucleotide long non-coding RNA is filed under the name Capra hircus (goat). RNAcentral's name for it is "lncRNA (ENSCHIG00010022942.1)". Lineage: Eukaryota; Metazoa; Chordata; Mammalia; Artiodactyla; Bovidae. The record is from RNAcentral.
GGAGAUCCGUGGUCCCAAGGGACGAGAUUCCUCCAGCCUCCUCUCACCCAGACAGCCCUGGCAGAAAGGCCGACAGGGACGCCUGGAAACCUCUUCACCAGAGGCCUGACCCUUGGACGGUGAUUCAGAGCAGGCAUCCAGAGAGGCUGGGGUGGAGAGGAAACCCAGGCCAGGCUGGGGAGGGCUGCUUAGGAAGCGGAGCCUCAAAGAAGGGCCUGUCCUCGGUGAUCUUAAGGGAGGGGAUGGAUAUAUGCCUGGCUCACUGUCCCACGAGGGGCAGCGCCCUGGGUCACCCUCCCUGGGCCUGGCUUGGCUGCCUGCUAUGGGUGUGCAGGGGAGGGCACUCAACCGGCACCUCCGUUACGCACUUCUGUUCCUGUCCGCGUUUCAAUCUGCUGCCCCAGGCGAGCACAAUGUAGCCAUUCAGAGUCUACUCAGUGAUGCGGGGGAAAGUUCAUGGCGCAGCACGAGACAGAAAGGCAGGCCACACGGUGGUAGAUACUCUGUAGAUACUAGUUUAGUGGAAUAAAUGAAUAAACACAUCAAUUGAGAUCAUAUAAAUAAAAACAUGGAAAAAAUCUAAAAACAUACGUAACCUUAUAAAUUGAAACAAAGCAUUGCAAUCAUGUAAAUCUUAAAUAUAGCAAAUGUUCGUGAUGUUGUAUUAGGUGAAAAAAGCUUGUUAUAAAAUGGUAAUAUUCAAGUUUGUAAACAAUUUUAAUCAUGAAAAUCUAAACAUAAAAAUAAACAUCAGCAUUUGAAUCUAAACUUUCUUGGCAUCUAGUCUGUGACAGGCACCUAUGUGCUGACACUCACAACAUUUUGAAGUAGGUUCUGUUAUUUUCAUCUCCGGGUUAGAUAUGAAGAAACUGAGGUGCAAAGAGGCAAGAGGUCACUUAUGCCCGGUCACACCCCAGAGAUGGCAGGACAGCCACUUGAGCCUACGCAGCUUGGCUUGAAGAAAAGGUCAUCGAACGUCACCAGCACCCACCGCGAGCCAGGCUUGCUUUGUGACAUGGCUGAGAGCGUAUGCUGUGACAGCCGUGCACCCAGGGCCUUGGAGAACUUUCAGGCACCAGGUGCCCAAGGCUGCAGUCAUAGACGUGUCUCCUGGUGCAGGUCUCAGAGUGUGCAUCUGACUGGGAGGAGGAGGGGCAGGAACAGCAACCCCUCGCUCUGGGAGUGUCUGCACUUUUUGUCAUCACAACCCUUCGGCCCAGCAUUGUCAGGACCGUCCUGCCGUGUGGCAGCUGAGGAAGCGGCAGCUCGGGCAGAUGAAGCCACCAGCCAUGCCCACAGGUUGGCAGAGGCAGAGGCAGGACUGGAAUCCAGACCUGCCCAGGCUCCCAGCCUCCAUCCUUUCUUUCUCUCCUUCCAUCUUGCUUUUUAUUUUGUAUUUUGA